CCUCUAAUGAAUUGACGGGGGCCUGCCCAAGCGGCGGAGCAUGUGGUUUAACUUGAUGCAACGCGAAGAACCUUACCUACUCUUGACAUCCAGAGAAUUCGCUAGAGAUAGUUUAGUGCCUUCGGGAGCUCUGAGACAGGUGCUGCAUGGCUGUCGUCAGCUCGUGUUGUGAAAUGUUGGGUUAAGUCCCGCAACGAGCGCAACCCUUAUCCUUGUUUGCCAGCACGUAAUGGUGGGAACUCCAGGGAGACUGCCGGUGAUAAACCGGAGGAAGGUGGGGACGACGUCAAGUCAUCAUGGCCCUUACGAGUAGGGCUACACACGUGCUACAAUGGCGCAUACAGAGGGCUGCAAGCUAGCGAUAGUGAGCGAAUCCCAAAAAGUGCGUCGUAGUCCGGAUCGGAGUCUGCAACUCGACUCCGUGAAGUCGGAAUCGCUAGUAAUCGUGAAUCAGAAUGUCACGGUGAAUACGUUCCCGGGCCUUGUACACACCGCCCGUCACACCAUGGGAGUGGGCUGCAAAAGAAGUGGGAGAGUAAGAUCAUGGCACGAGAGCGAAUCUACCAUCGUGAUCCACUGUGCUGAGUGUCUAU
This 593-nucleotide ribosomal RNA is filed under the name Vibrio sp. ED124. Its description in RNAcentral is "bacterial SSU rRNA". It matches the Rfam family "Bacterial small subunit ribosomal RNA", at positions 899 to 1462 of the family's 1533-position model. Lineage: Bacteria; Pseudomonadati; Pseudomonadota; Gammaproteobacteria; Vibrionales; Vibrionaceae. The record is from RNAcentral.